AUAUAUAUGUAUAUACGUAUUUAGUUGAGAAACCGAGCGGGUACACCCGAGAGAAAUUACGAGCAUAUAAAUCACUGGAUGCUUAUGAAUACGUUGUCUGUGGUCAUGUACAGAACGUCAAAUACCAUGACAUAGACUCAGAGUUUUGUGUGUUGAAAUCAGAAAUUCUUCCUAGUCAAAGACAAGGACACAAGACAACGAUGUAUGAGGCUUGGGUUAUAAUCAACCAACGAGAGAACUACGUCCUCACGGCGAACUGCACCUGUAUGGCAGGGCUUGGGUCAUGCUGCAGUCAUGCAGCUGCAAUAUUAUUUAAAGUUGAACUCUAUGUUAGGAUGGGAAGGACUGAGAAAGCAGCAGUUACAUCUGGAGUGUGCAUGUGGAAAGACAUCAGCAGGAAAGAAGUCAGACCAGCUCCAUUGAGUGUUGACAGAUGAUGACAUCCGGGAACUGCAGGUUGUGGACCCCUGUGCUGCAGUGCUGACAAGCCUGCAAAAUAGUGACACAGACACUGCAUCAUCUGACACUGAUUCAGAGGAGCAUCCUGACUUACCA
This is a long non-coding RNA of Pungitius pungitius (ninespine stickleback), 555 nucleotides long. RefSeq lists it as uncharacterized. The record is from RefSeq and is a predicted model, not a curated record. Lineage: Eukaryota; Metazoa; Chordata; Actinopteri; Perciformes; Gasterosteidae. The transcript has 3 exons.